AGAGUGGCGGACGGGUGAGUAACGCGUAGGAACCUACCUGGUAGCGGGGGACAACCUGGUGAAAACCAGGCUAAUACCGCGUACGCCCUACGGGGGAAAGCAGGGGAUCUUCGGACCUUGCACUAUCAGAUGGGCCUGCGUCGGAUUAGCUAGUUGGAGGUAAUGGCUCACCAAGGCGACGAUCCGUAGCUGGUUUGAGAGAAUGAUCAGCCACACUGGGACUGAGACACGGCCCAG
RNAcentral lists this ribosomal RNA (237 nucleotides) under uncultured bacterium. RNAcentral's name for it is "partial 16S ribosomal RNA". It matches the Rfam family "Bacterial small subunit ribosomal RNA", at positions 92 to 334 of the family's 1533-position model. The record is from RNAcentral.